UCGGGUUGUAAACCUCUUUCGUAGGGAAGAAGCGAAAGUGACGGUACCUGCAGAAGAAGCGCCGGCUAACUACGUGCCAGCAGCCGCGGUAAUACGUAGGGCGCAAGCGUUAUCCGGAAUUAUUGGGCGUAAAGAGCUCGUAGGCGGUUUGUCGCGUCUGCCGUGAAAGUCCGGGGCUCAACUCCGGAUCUGCGGUGGGUACGGGCAGACUAGAGUGAUGUAGGGGAGACUGGAAUUCCUGGUGUAGCGGUGAAAUGCGCAGAUAUCAGGAGGAACACCGAUGGCGAAGGCAGGUCUCUGGGCAUUAACUGACGCUGAGGAGCGAAAGCAUGGGGAGCGAACAGGAUUAGAUACCCUGGUAGUCCAUGCCGUAAACGUUGGGCACUAGGUGUGGGGGACAUUCCACGUUUUCCGCGCCGUAGCUAACGCAUUAAGUGCCCCGCCUGGGGA
RNAcentral lists this ribosomal RNA (450 nucleotides) under uncultured bacterium. RNAcentral describes it as "bacterial SSU rRNA". It matches the Rfam family "Bacterial small subunit ribosomal RNA", at positions 418 to 879 of the family's 1533-position model. The record is from RNAcentral.